AGUGAACGCUGGCGGUAGGCCUAACACAUGCAAGUCGAACGGCAGCACAGUAAGAGCUUGCUCUUACCGGUGGCGAGUGGCGGACGGGUGAGGAAUACAUCGGAAUCUACUUUUUCGUGGGGGAUAACGUAGGGAAACUUACGCUAAUACCGCAUACGACCUACGGGUGAAAGCAGGGGAUCUUCGCACCUUGCGCGUUUGAAUGAGCCGAUGUCGGAUUAGCUAGUUGGCGGGGUAAAGGCCCACCAAGGCGACGAUCCGUAGCUGGUCUGAGAGGAUGAUCAGCCACACUGGAACUGAGACACGGUCCAGACUCCUACGGGAGGCAGCAGUGGGGAAUAUUGGACAAUGGGCGCAAGCCUGAUCCAGCCAUACCGCGUGGGUGAAGAAGGCCUUCGGGUUGUAAAGCCCUUUUGUUGGGAAAGAAAAGCAGCAGGUUAAUACCCCGCUGUUCUGACGGUACCCAAAGAAUAAGCACCGGCUAACUUCGUG
Molecule: ribosomal RNA, 492 nt
Filed under: uncultured bacterium
Lineage: Bacteria
Description: partial 16S ribosomal RNA
Rfam family: Bacterial small subunit ribosomal RNA
Source: RNAcentral